GAGUUUGAUCCUGGCUCAGAAUGAACGCUGGCGGCGUGCUUUACACAUGCAAGUCGAGCGAGGCGUGUAGCAAUACACAGUCGAGCGGGCGAACGGGUGAGUAACGCGUGGAUUAUCUGCCCUGAGGUGGGGGAUAACCCGGGGAAACUCGGGCUAAUACCGCAUAGGACCGUGAGGUCAAAGGGGGGUCGCAAGAUCUCUCGCCAUAGGAGGAGUCCGCGUCCGAUUAGCUAGUUGGUAGGGUAAUGGCCUACCAAGGCGACGAUCGGUAGCCGGCCUGAGAGGGUGAUCGGCCACACUGGAACUGAGACACGGUCCAGACUCCUACGGGAGGCAGCAGUGGGGAAUUUUGCGCAAUGGGCUAACGCCUGACGCAGCAACGCCGCGUGGAGGAUGAAGGUCCUUGGAUUGUAAACUCCUGUCAGCAGGGAAAAAGCAACUUGGCCUCAUACGCUAAGAAGUUGAUUGUACCUGCAGAGGAAGCCCGGCUAACUCUGUGCCAGCAGCCGCGCAGU
This 515-nucleotide ribosomal RNA is filed under the name uncultured bacterium. Its description in RNAcentral is "bacterial SSU rRNA". It matches the Rfam family "Bacterial small subunit ribosomal RNA", at positions 9 to 523 of the family's 1533-position model. The record is from RNAcentral.